GAGCGGCUGAUGGCAGAUUAGGUAGUUGGUAGGGAGUAAAAGCUUACCAAGCCGACGAUCUGUAGCUGGUCUGAGAGGACGACCAGCCACACUGGACUGAGACACGGCCCAGACUCCUACGGGAGGCAGCAGUGGGAAUUUGGACAAUGGGCGCAAGCCUGAUCCAGCAAUGCCGCGUGCAGAUGAAGGCCUUCGGGUUGUAAACUGCUUUUGUACGGAACGAAAAGACUCUCUCUAAUACAGGGGGUUGAUGACGGUACCGUAAGAAUAAGCACCGGCUAACUACGUGCCAGCAGCCGCGGUAAUACGUAGGGUGCGAGCGUUAAUCGGAAUUACUGGGCGUAAAGCGUGCGCAGGCGGUUUUGUAAGACAGAGGUGAAAUCCCCGGGCUCAACCUGGGAACUGCCUUUGUGACUGCAAGGCUGGAGUGCGGCAGAGGGGAUGGAAUUCCGCGUGUAGCAGUGAAAUGCGUAGAUAUGCGGAGGAACACCGAUGG
Molecule: ribosomal RNA, 496 nt
Filed under: uncultured bacterium
Lineage: Bacteria
Description: bacterial SSU rRNA
Rfam family: Bacterial small subunit ribosomal RNA
Source: RNAcentral